CCCCAGAGAGAAAUGGGCAGCUCGGUGGCACUCAGCCCAGCUGGUCUCCUGCCUGUGGCGGCAAGCUGGCAAGCAGAAGGAGGCAAUUGCCCGGUGCUGGGAUGCUGUGGAGCAAGGAGAAGGCAAGUACAAAGUUUACUUGCUGGUGGGAUCACUACUUGAAGGCGACUGAUACCCAGCUCUGAAGCUGGUUGAUGUCUGGCAAUGGACCUGGCGAGGCUGCAGCUGGUGGAUGGUUGUCAGAAGAGUUUGCAUUCAGGCUAGUGGAAGCCAUGAGGCUACGCCGGCUGAGAUGGAUGCAAACUGGUUUGGAAGCCUUGUUUGUGAACAGGCAGCCAAACAGGAGGAGUCUGAGGGGACGCUGUCGGAUGGGGGCCAUCUUACUCACCUGUUUGCCUUUGCCUUAUAGGGAUGUCUGGAGCCAGUGAGGUUUUUCCCAAGUCCAGCCUUCAAAGUCAUGGAGAGAACUGCAGGACGUCCCUAUUUACAUCGAAGAAAUGAACGUGAAAUACUGUCAGUGAGCAAUGGACAAGGCCGUGGCCAUACCUGAGAGAAGGAGCUUUGAAGGGAGACUGCAGGUGGACAACUGCUGCAUUGCAAGUGAUGGGGCAGUGGGGACCAAGAAGAAAAUCAGGGAGGAAACAUUAGGCCACAUUAGGAGCACCGUCCAUUGAAAGUGCUAUGAAGACACUUUGAACAGGAAUGGCUUCCCCUCAGGGAUUCUGGGAACUGUAGGUGGUUAAGGGGAUGGAGAGUUGCUAGGGUAGUUCAGGAUUAGGGCUAGGGUUAGAGUUAGGGGUAGGGUAGGGGAAGGGGAAGGGUUCCCUUGUCAGGGAACGCUGGGAAGUGUAGUUCUGGUUAAGGGUUAGCGUUAAGGUUAGAGUUAGGGUUAGCGUCAGGGUAGGGGUAGGGGUAGGAUUCGGGUUCCCUUCUUGCCAGGGAGCUCUUGGAAUUGCAGCUCUGGUUAAGGGUUCACCUUAGGGUUAGUGUCAGGAGUAGGGGUAGGAGAAGGAUUUGGUUUCCCUUCUUGUCAGAGAACUCUGAGAAUUGUAGCUCUAGUUAGGGGUUAACCUUAGGGUUAGAGUUAGGGUUAGCGUCAGGGGUAGAGGUAGGGUUGGGGUAGGGUUCCCUUCUUGCCAGGGAACUCUGGGAAUUGUAGCUCUAGUUAGGGGUUAAGGGUUAGCAUUAGAGUUAGAGUUAGGGUUAGCGUCAGGGGUAGGGGUAGGGGUAGGGUUCCCUUCUUGCCAGGGAACUCUGGGAAUUGUAGCUCUAGUUAAGGGUUAAGCGUUAGCAUUAGGGUUAGAGUUAGGGUUAGCCUCGGGUAGGGGUAGGGUUCCCUUCUUGGCAGGGAACAGGGGGUCCCCUAACAACUGUCCGCACCCUUUUCCAACUAUAGCUCCCAGAUUCUUUGGGGGAAGAAGCCAUGAGUGUUUAAAGUGGCUUCAUAGCGUGUUAAAUGGUGUGGAUGUGGCCCUGGCCUCCCUCACCCCACUGCCUCUUAUUACUGAGGAAUCGAAAGGACUUCCCCAUUCAAAUCGCUUGGAAACAGGAAACAGGAAG
This 1560-nucleotide long non-coding RNA is filed under the name Podarcis lilfordi (Lilford's wall lizard). Lineage: Eukaryota; Metazoa; Chordata; Lepidosauria; Squamata; Lacertidae. The record is from RNAcentral.